This 301-nucleotide ribosomal RNA is filed under the name uncultured bacterium. Its description in RNAcentral is "partial 16S ribosomal RNA". It matches the Rfam family "Bacterial small subunit ribosomal RNA", at positions 509 to 807 of the family's 1533-position model. The record is from RNAcentral.
CAGUCGCCGCGGUAAUACAGAGGGUGCGAGCGUUAAUCGGAUUUACUGGGCGUAAAGCGUGCGUAGGCGGCUUCUUAAGUCGGAUGUGAAAUCCCUGAGCUUAACUUAGGAAUUGCAUUCGAUACUGGGAAGCUAAAGUAUGGGAGAGGAUGGUAGAAUUCCAGGUGUAGCGGUGAAAUGCGUAGAGAUCUGGAGGAAUACCGAUGGCGAAGGCAGCCAUCUGGCCUAAUACUGACGCUGAGGUACGAAAGCAUGGGGAGCAAACAGGAUUAGAUACCCCGGUAGUCCCUGUCUCUUAUAC